RNAcentral lists this long non-coding RNA (1490 nucleotides) under Anser brachyrhynchus (Pink-footed goose). RNAcentral describes it as "lncRNA (ENSABRG00000008949.1)". Lineage: Eukaryota; Metazoa; Chordata; Aves; Anseriformes; Anatidae. The record is from RNAcentral.
GUUUGCGUUGAGGCUUGCUGGUCACUGUGUUGUGAAAAAUCAAUGAGAUGUGACGGGAUUUCUCAAUGCAAUUUCAAGUGGUGUGUCUGGGCCCUAAGAAUACAUUUAUCUUAUUCAAAGAAGAGUUAAUGCAUGCAGUUUCACAGUGGCCUAUGUUACCUCCUGAAACACCAGGUUGCAAGAGGUGUCUUGGAAGACAUGGUUUUUAAGGCAGGAACUGAAAGAGGAGUACACUGGAGCUUGUCUCUAUCAUGCAUAGACCAACAUGGAAGAGAACGCAAGCCCACUCACGAACUGGGGACAGGCGAGGGUUUGGCAGACACUUGGUAUCUGCUCCAGUCUUUUGAAGAAACGGGCAUCCACUGAGGACCUCAUCCGGACAAAAAAAAAAUGUAAACGGCAAGUGACAGGAGCAUUGAGGUGCAACAGUGUGGAGAACUCUUGUCUGCCAUUCUUUCUCACUGUAUCUUUCGCAUUUGUUUGUCUUCCCUGCUGCAGCUCAUGGCCGGACAACAAUUAAAAUCGAUAAGCUAUGAUGACUCCCUUUGCAGAAGAGGCCUGGAAACACAAAGCAGUUUUUAACGCCGUUCUCCUUUGCGUUUGGCGAGGAAGCUGGAAUCAGUCAGCGCUUGGGCCGACUGCUGCACUGACAGAAGACCUGGCUCCUUCUGAAGCUUUCUGAGUCUCUGCUGAAGUGGCCACAGCCAAGACUUAGAUUUGGAUUGGCAAACUUCAUAAUCAUUACCAUUAAUCCAUUGCACAGUUAUGCCUUCUGUCACAGAUUUAUUGAAGUGGUAUUAACUGGUAUUUCACAAUCUCCUCCCAAAGAGGUGAAGCAACUGUAGAUUUCUGAAGUUUUAACACUUGAAAUGUUUAGUGUCUUCUCCCGGUAUUCAACAGAAAGGUAAUUUCACAUAAUUUCAUUGACGUCAAAACUUAGCCCUACUUGGCUUUCCCUUACUCUUGGCUAGAGUACCCUUGACACCCUCUCAGUCAGCUGAAAUGAAUGUUCUCCUUACUUGUGGGUUAAUUAUUUUCCACAUGGGUUAAUUAUUUUCCAUGCUUAGCCUGAAGCACCUUAGCUCUUUGUAUAGACAUAGAAAGAAAUUGUAAAAUUGAAGGCGUUUCAAAAAUAUUUGUACAUAGAAAAGUAGCUGUUUAUGGAUUGUUACUGAAUGAAUGACUUGGAAAUUAGCUCCAGCUGCAGUAUAGCCUUUCUUUAAAUGGAAAAAAAGACACAUUUUCGUCUGUGAUCUAAUUAUAUAUCAUUUCCAUUGAAUCAUCAGUACCCAGAAUGUGUUGUUUGCAAUUCUGAGUGGAUGACUUACACAGUACAAGAAGGGAGAUUUCUAUUUGACUUAUUCUUAAUCAGAAAAUACAUUUCUAUAUACAAAAAGAAAAAAAGAAAAAAAAAAAGAAAAAUGAAGCUUUAAUUCUUUAAAAAAUCAGCUGAAAGCUUUUAAUUUUCCUUGAUCUUUUUUUUUUGGGGC